CAGCAGCCGCGGGAAUACGAAGGGUGCAAGCGUUAAUCGGAAUUACUGGGCGUAAAGCGUGCGUAGGCGGUGAUGUAAGACAGUUGUGAAAUCCCCGGGCUCAACCUGGGAACUGCAUCUGUGACUGCAUCGCUGGAGUGCGGCAGAGGGGGAUGGAAUUCCGCGUGUAGCAGUGAAAUGCGUAGAUAUGCGGAGGAACACCGAUGGCGAAGGCAAUCCCCUGGGCCUGCACUGACGCUCAUGCACGAAAGCGUGGGGAGCAAACAGGAUUAGAUACCCCCGUAGUCCCUGUCUCUUAUAC
Molecule: ribosomal RNA, 301 nt
Filed under: uncultured bacterium
Lineage: Bacteria
Description: partial 16S ribosomal RNA
Rfam family: Bacterial small subunit ribosomal RNA
Source: RNAcentral